This 1391-nucleotide ribosomal RNA is filed under the name metagenome. RNAcentral describes it as "bacterial LSU rRNA". It matches the Rfam family "Bacterial large subunit ribosomal RNA", at positions 1551 to 2925 of the family's 2925-position model. The record is from RNAcentral.
AAACACUGAGGCGCGAAUGCGAGGAACUUGUUCCGGAAGUGAGAAAAGCCAUGCUUUCAAGAAAAGCUUCGAUGUGUUGUAGAAAUUGCUCGUACCGUAAACCGACUCAGGUGAGUGGGGUGAAUAUCCUAAGGCGAUGGGGUGAAUUGUGGUUAAGGAACUCGGCAACUUAACACCGUAACUUCGGGAAAAGGUGUGCCCUCGAGAGUGUAGUUCCUUGCGAGUGAAGCUUUUGAGGGUCGCAGAGAAAUGGGAGUAGCGACUGUUUAUCAAAAACACAGGUAUGUGCAAAGUCUCAAGACGACGUAUACAUACUGACGCCUGCCCGGUGCUGGAAGGUUAAGAGGAUUAGUUAGCGUAAGCGAAGCUGAGAAUCGAAGCCCCAGUAAACGGCGGCCGUAACAAUAACGGUCCUAAGGUAGCGAAAUUCCUUGUCGGGUAAGUUCCGACCUGCACGAAUGGCGUAACGACUUCUCCGGUGUCUCAACCACAUGCCUCGCGAAAUUGAAUUCUCGGUGAAAAUGCCGAGUACCCGCAGAAAGACGGAAAGACCCCGUGAACCUUUACUGUAGCUUGGCAGUGAUUUUAGAGAACGCAUGUGUAGGAUAGGUGGGAGCCUUUGAAGCUUGGUCGCUAGAUCAGGUGGAGGCAACCUUGAAAUACCACCCUUGUUUUCUUUGAAAUCUAACCUGCGCCUUGAAACGAGGCGAGGGACACUGUCUGGUGGGCAGUUUGACUGGGGCGGUCGCCUCCCAAAAUGUAACGGAGGCGCGCGAUGGUCCCCUCAGCCUGAUUGGAAACCAGGCGUCGAGUGCAUUGGCAUAAGGGGGCUUGACUGCGAGACUUACAAGUCGAGCAGGUGCGAAAGCAGGCCAAAGUGAUCCGGUGGUCCCGCGUGGAAGGGCCAUCGCUCAACGGAUAAAAGGUACUCCGGGGAUAACAGGCUUAUUCCUUCCAAGAGUCCAUAUCGACGAAGGAGUUUGGCACCUCGAUGUCGGCUCAUCACAUCCUGGGGCUGGAGCAGGUCCCAAGGGUUUAGCUGUUCGCUAAUUAAAGUGGUACGCGAGCUGGGUUCAGAACGUCGUGAGACAGUUUGGUCCUUAUCUUCUGUGGGCGUAAGAGAUUUGAGUAGACCUGUCCUUAGUACGAGAGGACCGGGAUGGACGAACCUCUGGUGUUCCUGUUGUCGCGCCAGCGGCAUUGCAGGGUAGCUAUGUUCGGAAUAGAUAACCGCUGAAAGCAUCUAAGCGGGAAGCUAACUACGAGAUUAGAUCUCUCUGGGCCUUCGGGCCCCUAAAGACCCCUUGGAGACUACGAGGUUGAUAGGUGGAGGGUGUACAUACAGUAAUGUAUUCAGCCGAUCCAUACUAAUAGGUCGUGAGGCUUUUUAC